GAUGAACGCUGGCGGCGUGCCUAAUACAUGCAAGUCGAGCGAACGGACGAGAAGCUUGCUUCUCUGAUGUUAGCGGCGGACGGGUGAGUAACACGUGGAUAACCUACCUAUAAGACUGGGAUAACUUCGGGAAACCGUAGCUAAUACCGGAUAAUAUUUUGAACCGCAUGGUUCAAAAGUGAAAGACGGUCUUGCUGUCACUUAUAGAUGGAUCCGCGCUGCAUUAGCUAGUUGGUAAGGUAACGGCUUACCAAGGCAACGAUGCAUAGCCGACCUGAGAGGGUGAUCGGCCACACUGGAACUGAGACACGGUCCAGACUCCUACGGGAGGCAGCAGUAGGGAAUCUUCCGCAAUGGGCGAAAGCCUGACGGAGCAACGCCGCGUGAGUGAUGAAGGUCUUCGGAUCGUAAAACUCUGUUAUUAGGGAAGAACAUAUGUGUAAGUAACUGUGCACAUCUUGACGGUACCUAAUCAGAAAGCCACGGCUAACUACGUGCCAGCAGCCGCGGUAAUACGUAGGUGGCAAGCGUUAUCCGGAAUUAUUGGGCGUAAAGCGCGCGUAGGCGGUUUUUUAAGUCUGAUGUGAAAGCCCACGGCUCAACUGUGGAGGGUCAUUGGAAACUGGAAAACUUGAGUGCAGAAGAGGAAAGUGGAAUUCCAUGUGUAGCGGUGAAAUGCGCAGAGAUAUGGAGGAACACCAGUGGCGAAGGCGACUUUCUGGUCUGUAACUGACGCUGAUGUGCGAAAGCGUGGGGAUCAAACAGGAUUAGAUACCCUGGUAGUCCACGCCGUAAACGAUGAGUGCUAAGUGUUAGGGGGUUUCCGCCCCUUAGUGCUGCAGCUAACGCAUUAAGCACUCCGCCUGGGGAGUACGACCGCAAGGUUGAAACUCAAAGGAAUUGACGGGGACCCGCACAAGCGGUGGAGCAUGUGGUUUAAUUCGAAGCAACGCGAAGAACCUUACCAAAUCUUGACAUCCUUUGACAACUCUAGAGAUAGAGCCUUCCCCUUCGGGGGACAAAGUGACAGGUGGUGCAUGGUUGUCGUCAGCUCGUGUCGUGAGAUGUUGGGUUAAGUCCCGCAACGAGCGCAACCCUUAAGCUUAGUUGCCAUCAUUAAGUUGGGCACUCUAAGUUGACUGCCGGUGACAAACCGGAGGAAGGUGGGGAUGACGUCAAAUCAUCAUGCCCCUUAUGAUUUGGGCUACACACGUGCUACAAUGGACAAUACAAAGGGCAGCGAAACCGCGAGGUCAAGCAAAUCCCAUAAAGUUGUUCUCAGUUCGGAUUGUAGUCUGCAACUCGACUACAUGAAGCUGGAAUCGCUAGUAAUCGUAGAUCAGCAUGCUACGGUGAAUACGUUCCCGGGUCU
Molecule: ribosomal RNA, 1372 nt
Filed under: uncultured bacterium
Lineage: Bacteria
Description: bacterial SSU rRNA
Rfam family: Bacterial small subunit ribosomal RNA
Source: RNAcentral